RNAcentral lists this ribosomal RNA (462 nucleotides) under uncultured bacterium. RNAcentral's name for it is "bacterial SSU rRNA". It matches the Rfam family "Bacterial small subunit ribosomal RNA", at positions 376 to 836 of the family's 1533-position model. The record is from RNAcentral.
CGAAAGGGUGACCCGGCAACGCCGCGUGGAGGAUGAAUGCCGUAAGGUUGUAAACUCCUGUUAGAGGGGAAGAAAAAUCUCGAUCAAAUCGAGAACUGACUGUACCUUCAGAGAAAGCCCCGGCUAACUACGUGCCAGCAGCCGCGGUAAUACGUAGGGGGCAAGCGUUGUCCGGAUUUAUUGGGCGUAAAGCGUACGCAGGCGGUUUGGUAAGUCAGAGGUGAAAGCCCACAGCUUAACUGUGGCACUGCCUUUGAUACUGCCUUUCUAGAGUGCAUGAGGGGGAAGCGGAAUUCCGAGUGUAGAGGUGAAAUUCGUAGAUAUUCGGAGGAACACCGGUGGCGAAGGCGGCUUCCUGGCAUGUAACUGACGCUCAUGUACGAAAGCGUGGGGAGCAAACAGGAUUAGAUACCCUGGUAGUCUAGCCGUAAACGAUGGGCACUAAGUAGAGGGGUUUUAAUC